ACUCCUACGGGAGGCAGCAGUGGGGAAUAUUGGACAAUGGACCAAAAGUCUGAUCCAGCAAUUCUGUGUGUUUGAUGAAGGCCUUCGGUUGUAAGAACUUUCAGUGGGAAGGAAGCAAGUGACGGUACCCACCAGAAGAAGCGACGGCUAAAUACGUGCCAGCAGCCGCGGUAAUACGUAUGUCGCAAGCGUUAUCCGGAAUUAUUGGGCAUAAAGGGCGUCUAGGCGGUCUAAUAAGUCUGAUGUGAAAAUGCGGGGCUCAACUCCGUAUUGCGUUGGAAACUGUUAGACUAGAGUUUUGGAGAGGUAGGCGGAACUACAAGUGUAGAGGUGAAAUUCGUAGAGAUUUGUAGGAAUGCCGAUGACGAAGGUAGCUUACUGGACAAAUACUGACGCUGAAGCGCGAAAGCUAGGGGAGCAAACAGGAUUAGAUACCCUGGUA
Molecule: ribosomal RNA, 442 nt
Filed under: uncultured bacterium
Lineage: Bacteria
Description: bacterial SSU rRNA
Rfam family: Bacterial small subunit ribosomal RNA
Source: RNAcentral